CAAAACAUUUUCAUGAUUGUUCAUGUGCCUCAGACCACUCUGUGACUGUGAUUUUAUUGUGUCGUGUUUAAUAUUAUUCGCUCCUAAAAUUAGCGAAAAACAAUUAAGUUAUUGAUUAUAAAAUGUCCUCAUCAAAGGUUUUUCUUAACGAACACAUCCAGCGAGGGAGGAACGAGCGAUCUAAAUGCUUCAUCAUCCCCCAACAUACCACAACCUCUAGGAAGAGUAUACUGGUGUAUGGCCCCUCCUGUUGGAACAACUUGCCUUUGGCGACAAGACAAACCAGCUCGCUAACAACCUUCAAGACCGCGUUGAACAGAGCUACAUAACGCAAAUAUUAUAUUCGUUAUCAAAACAUUUAUUAAUAUUCCACGCGUUUUGUGACACAAGUGAUUUCCUUAACCUGAACUAAUAGUUAAUUGUAACCGACAGGCUGCGUUAAAGUUAAUAAAUUACAAAUUACAAAUUACAAUUACAAAUUACACAAACACUCACAGGAUCUCUAUGAAACUUGAUGUUUCCUCGAAGAGAUUCCUUUUUACUUAACUCUAAGCGUACAACUUUCGAGGAUAUGAUGGCUAGCAUCUUACAAAUGCUAAAACCACCAAACCCACAGAUCGUGUACUAUAAAUGCCGUGACCGAGAUUCGAUCUCACGACCGUUAGCUUAGAAGACUUGAAGGCUAUCCUCUACGCCACGGGCUGCGGCAAGGUUAAGAGGAUCAAUAGAAUUUAAAAGCAUAAACAUGCUGUCUACAAUAUUUUAGAUGAUUAAGAAUAAUAACCUUAAACUGAAACGCAGUAUCUGAAUGUAAGAAUAUAAGAUGCAGCAUGUUUAGCUCAUAAAGUCGGUCAUAUCAGCCAACAAAGGAUUCUCUGACUGAAUAUUGUUAUCCUUGACCUUGUACAAAAGUUACAUAUUACUUUAAAUUAAGGAAGCGUGUGUUAUAAUCUUGGACGUGGGAAAGGAUACUUUAAUCAACACAAACAAUCGGACAGAGUCCUUCUUUCAACGGGCGAAAAGAUGUGUUACCAAAAUUGUGGAGAGAAAGAUUUUCAGCAAACCGCAAGACGAAGUUGGGCUUAUUUUGAUGGGCACUAACGAAACAAGUAAUCAACUGAACGUAGAAUAUGGUGGAUACGAUCAUGUUUCGGAGGCUUUCGAUAUUUCACCGAGUAACUGGCAGAUGCUACGAGUUCUGGAAAAACAAGUACAACCAUCAGAAGUUAAUGCAGACUGGUUUGAUGCAUUGGUAGUGGCUAUGAACUUUCUAAAAAUUGGCGUGCAGGCUAAGAAAUUCGCUCAUCUUAAAAUCAUUAUUAUUUCAACACUAUCAGUAUCGGCUACAAUCGAUGAAGAACAACUUGAUUCGGUUGUUAAAAAGUUGAGUACGAUGUCCUGUGAAUUGAAUAUUAUAAACGAUACUAUAGAACAUCAGCAGGAAAUUAAUGAACAAGAAGAACCUCCAAAGUUUAGUGCUCUUGGAAUGUUCAGUCAACAGCACACUAAAACUAAGGAACAGCGAGCCAAUGAAAAGCUGUUAGCUGAUAUAGUAUUCAAAUCAAAUGGAGCUUUAUGUAAUCUCAGUUCAGCAGAAUUACUAUUGGUACAUUUUGAAAAGAAAGCUACUAGAGCUGCACCUUGGAAUAGUCAGCUAUCUAUAGGAACACAACUUCAGAUCAGCAUUUCAGCCUAUGUGUACAUCACUGAAGAGAAAGGAAUAGGUUCAUUCAAAACUGAAAGUAUUGAUCCUAAUGUAUCUGUUAAGUUAACCAAGGACUAUUUUAAAGACGAUAAGUUAUUUGAACCAGAUUUCGGAGACCUUAUUAAAGGAUACAUGUACGGUUCAACAAUUGUCCCCUACGAUAGUCAGAUGGAUAUUGAUUACAAAUCUGGAGAACAAAGGCUUUCAUGUCUUGGCUUUACACUGGCAGCUAAUAUUGUUGAAGAAUAUCUCUGUGGAACCGGUACUCAUGUGGUCGUUGCUAGAAAAGAUUGCGCAGCAUCGGAAGCAAAAUUGUCAGCGUUGGUAAAAGCAAUGACAGAUUUGGAUGUCGUGAUGGUUGCCACUAAAGUUUAUAGGCGAGACACGAAGCCAAAAAUCAAUGUACUGAUGCCAGCAUAUCGCAAACGGUAUCCUUGCCUUAUGAUGUAUGAGCUGUGUUUCCAAGAGGAAGUUGUGCUGUUGAAAUUUCCUACACUCCUCUCUAACAAACACAAACCUACCGACGCUCAAUAUGAUGCUAUGGACAAACUUAUUGAUGCAAUGGAUUUAAUGAAUGCCUACGACGAUGAGGCAGGUUCGAAAGAAGCUUUCUCUCUUCACAAAACACUCAAUCCAAUUCACCAGCAUAUGUAUCGAACGAUUGCACAUCGUGCUUUAUAUCCCAAAGCUCCGAUUCCUUCAAUGGACGAUGAACUAAAAAGUUUAGUUGAUGUACCACCAAGAAUAAAAGAGCGUUCGAAAGACGUGGUGGGAGAGGUAAAAAAUCUCUUUCCACUCAAAGAAGUCAGAGUUAAUGCCCGUAUCAAAUGGUUACAACGAACGGCGAAUAUCAAUAUUCCGAAUGACCCAACUGCGGCCAGCUCUUCUCAGCACAUGGCGUAUCAAAACAGUUCUGACAACGAGGAUAUCGACGAUCAAAGAGUAAUUGUGGAAGUCGGUACAGUAACACCAGCGGAAGACUUUGCUCUAUUGCUUAAACGGGGUGAAAAGUUUGCAACGUUAUGUACUCAAAUCCAAAGGGUCAUUUCCGAUUUGGUGUUCAAAUCGAUGACGAUACAAUAUGAAAAAGUGGCCAUGGCCAUGAUGAUAUAUCGAGAAGAAGCGAAAAUUCUUGGGCCGUACCGAUACAACGAAUGGAUUGGAGAGUUCAAAAAAAGUUUACUAGCGCGUAAUAAGCUCGAAUUUUGGGAGCAAAUUGUGAUUAAAGAAAGGUUUGGCUUAAUUGGUGCCACUGAGAGUGACAUAAGCACUGUCACAAAUGACGAAAUUGAAUCGUUCUACAGUUUCAGUGCUGCUGCUAAAAUAAAUUUAGAAGAUGGAAAUGCUGAUUACAUUGACGCAGAUGAUCUUUUUGCGAAUAUGUGAAUAAGAAAAAAUAUUAUUAUGGAUGAUUAUAACGUUUGUUAAUAAAUCUGUGAACUUUUUUCAAGCAGGUGCAUAAAUCAUUCGUAAAGAAAAAUGAAUAUUUACUAACUAGCUAUGAUAAAUUUAUAAAAUAGCACUUCUUCUACUAUGCUGGAUAAAAUAAUGCUUUUGAGAAGAUUCUGAUAAUAUUCGGUUGUUCCGGUAGACGCUAGACGAUAACGGGUAGACAGUUGGACGGUGAUGCAAUAUAUUCGCGAGCGUCUUUCAUUGAACCUAAUCUCAAAUUACUCCGCUGAACAGCCAGCUCAAAAAACAGAAAAUGGGCAACCGCAAGACUCCUCAGUACAAAGCUUGGAUAUUCUUAGAAGAAAUCAAACAGAUACAAAAUCUAGAUCUAGAAUAUCAACAAUUUCUGGUUCGUCAAUCGAUCAAGGCGCAUAUCUCGGCGGACGGCUUCAAAGCAUGAGCAGCGCGGUGCCUUCCACUUACACAACCCCAUUCCAAAGUCCAGUGGUAUCUGAAAAAUGGAGACCUCACAGCCACCCCAACAUGUUCCCUCCAAGUUCGUCUCUGGUCAACCAAAAUGAAGCCAGUACAUCUUCCUUCAAGGGCACGCCUAACGGUUUUGUGUUAGAUCAAGGCCAAAUAACAAAUUCGACUCGAUACCCUCCAACAUACACAACGCAACAGUCAAACGGAGCUUACAGCAAUCACUCAUUCAGCCACAAUGUUACAAGUCAAUGUAUUACAGGACAAGUUGGAGAACAGCCAGAGCCGCACGUCGUCCGUGAGCAGUAUUGGGCCUGGUCCUGUAAAUGUAGACGUCAAUUGAGCAGCCGCGAAAAGGUGUUGUUACUAGUGAUAGGUUUUCUGUUGUUAAUCAUCGGUGGACUAUCAGCUUAUCUUGCGAUUGUGACUGGUGACGGAAAUCCUCUCCAUGGUGGAUUAUUAACACAAAGCGGAUUCGGUUACAAAACAUAUAGAUAAGUAUAUAUUAUUAAAAAAAACUUAUCAAUUUUACUGAAAAUGCACAAUUUAGAAAAAAAAAUGUACACAUGUUUAUAGAGAUAAAGUUAAUAA
RNA transcript from Uranotaenia lowii, 4171 nucleotides. It is a transcript of the gene named X-ray repair cross-complementing protein 5, with no coding region annotated. The record is from RefSeq and is a predicted model, not a curated record. The transcript has 10 exons. Lineage: Eukaryota; Metazoa; Arthropoda; Insecta; Diptera; Culicidae.